GACGAACGCUGGCGGCGUGCUUAACACAUGCAAGUCGAACGGAAAGGCCCUGCUUUUGUGGGGUGCUCGAGUGGCGAACGGGUGAGUAACACGUGAGUAACCUGCCCUUGACUUUGGGAUAACUUCAGGAAACUGGGGCUAAUACCGGAUAGGAGCUCCUGCUGCAUGGUGGGGGUUGGAAAGUUUCGGCGGUUGGGGAUGGACUCGCGGCUUAUCAGCUUGUUGGUGGGGUAGUGGCUUACCAAGGCUUUGACGGGUAGCCGGCCUGAGAGGGUGACCGGCCACAUUGGGACUGAGAUACGGCCCAGACUCCUACGGGAGGCAGCAGUGGGGAAUAUUGCACAAUGGGCGGAAGCCUGAUGCAGCAACGCCGCGUGCGGGAUGACGGCCUUCGGGUUGUAAACCGCUUUCGCCUGUGACGAAGCGUGAGGGACGGGAAUGGGGAAAGAAGCAGCGGCGAACUACGG
Molecule: ribosomal RNA, 467 nt
Filed under: uncultured bacterium
Lineage: Bacteria
Description: partial 16S ribosomal RNA
Rfam family: Bacterial small subunit ribosomal RNA
Source: RNAcentral